This is a non-coding RNA of Podarcis lilfordi (Lilford's wall lizard), 71 nucleotides long. The record is from the annotation of a GenBank genome assembly. NCBI's taxonomy places the organism in Eukaryota, Metazoa, Chordata, Lepidosauria, Squamata, Lacertidae.
GGGUCAUAGCUCAGUCCUGGAGCACCUGCUUUACCUGCAGAAGGUCCCAGGUUCAAUCCCUGGCAUCUCCA